GAGAGCCAGAUGCGGUGAAAAUCGCACGCCCGGUUCGGGAAAGGGCAUGGGAAAACCGGCUUAAGCCAGGUGUCCCAUGCCUACUUCAC
Molecule: non-coding RNA, 89 nt
Filed under: Desulfoscipio geothermicus
Lineage: Bacteria; Bacillati; Bacillota; Clostridia; Eubacteriales; Desulfallaceae
Source: RNAcentral